This 5137-nucleotide long non-coding RNA is filed under the name Malus domestica (apple). RNAcentral's name for it is "long non-coding RNA (MDOM_LNC009630)". The record is from RNAcentral. Lineage: Eukaryota; Viridiplantae; Streptophyta; Magnoliopsida; Rosales; Rosaceae.
GAGACUUUCUCUCUUUUUCUUUUUUUCGCUUCGGCGAGCUCCAUCACCUCCGUCGUACCACACCACCACCACCCGUCCCUUUCUAGUUUUCUAAACCUCAUCAUCCUCACUCUCUCAACUAUGUGCCCACUGCAAAGAAACAUGAAUAGUAUUCAUCACCAUUUUCUCCGGAGGGUGUACUUAGAAUCCAACAAAACUAAGGUGAGCCUCGAGACCCUCAAAUCCUUCUUAUUUUAAAGCUCUUAUGUUGUUUUAACUUUAAAAACAAGUUUGGGGGACGAUUUGAUGCAAAAACACACGGGGAGAAAAUUCCCAUAUUUUUUUACGGCUUUCGAGCCGUUUUUCGAUCACCUCCGGCCACAGCCGAGGAAACCAAAGGUAUAUUUCGAUUCCUUGUUCUCUGAGCUUCGAUUUGAUAUAUUGGAAGGCUAGGUUUACUUAAGUUUUUGGUGUGGUCGGAACUGGGUAGAAUCCGGCGGAUGCAAUGGCAACCAACCGGAGUAGAAAAAGGAAGGAAGAAAAAAAAAAACAAAAAGGGCCGAAGCCCAAACUGGGCCCAAAACCCGGUCCAAGUCCUUGUCCCAAACCUUUAGCCUAAUAGGCCCAAACCUUUGGGUUGAUGUUUCAACCUAGCCCAGUUCCAAAAUGCGCUUAGAAUAUUAUGGGAAUAUUCCUUAGGUUGACUUUUUAGAAAUUUUCUCGGAAACCCUCAUGGGCUAAUUUUGAUGCCCCAAGUCCGUUUUUACAUUCAUUUAGUGAAAUUCCAAAUUUUUAACGUAGUUGACUGCCGAAGACUUUUAGGGUUGACCGUUGACGUUUUACAAAAUUUGCCAGGGACCCCUCUUAGCGUAAUUCGACGCUCUGAUUUCAAAUUCGCACUCCAUUUUUUCAAAUUUAAUCAUUUUAGCUAAUUUUUACUAUUGAGUCCCAAUAUUAUGCAUAUGUGCUAUUACUAUUGGAGACUCCGGCUUUUCACGUCCGAACAACUGCGACCUCGCAAGUAACUGUGAGUGGGCCCUUUCUUUAAUAUAUAUAUAUAUAUAUAUAUAUAUUGGUUAGUUUCCAUAUAUACAAUUAUUAAUAAAUUCUCUACGUGAUUGCCAUGAUUAAACUUACGUUUAUAAGAAAUGCCUUAUUGUUGGGAACUGGUGAAGUAAUCCUACAGGAUGCACCGGUAAUCUUUUGAUGAGGGGAUGCCUUAAUUAUAUUUAUGGUCAUGAUUAGUAUGAUAUUGACUAGAAUUGUUGAAUGGUUGUGGCAUGAUUAUAAUUAUGUUAUUUGUUCAUCAUUUGCUGCAACGGUGUUGGUGCUCACCCGGGCCAUGACCAGUCUUUCACGUGUAUGUGCACAUCGCACCGUUCACUCACUAUGGAUCCAUUGUAGGUGCUAGUUAAUCCCAUCUUCAUUUUGACAUGUUGUGUUACAAAUGGUUAAGAUUUAAUGUCGAUCUGCUUCUGUUGUGAAUCCAAAUAGGUAUUGAUUUGAAUUUUUGAUUCCGUUUGUGGUAAUUUGAGAUGGAAUGUGGAAGUGGUUUGAAUUAUGGUGUAUGAUGACUAUACUUAAAUUACAUGACUCUAGAUUAACAUUCUAUCUACUUAUUUCAUGAAUACAAUUGUUAAGAAUGAGUUUUCAAAUUUGUCGGUGAUAUUAUGAACUUAUUCACAUCAUUUUAGAGUAAAUACUAUUAGAAGUAUUCAGAUCAAAUGGCUACAAAAGAGACAUGUGUCUUUUUGGGUGUUCAUGUUAUCCUUGGUUACGACCAUACACUAGCACAAAAUUAGAACCCAGAACAACAAAAUGUGUCUUUUUGGGGUAUGCAUCUAAAUAUAAAGGGUAUCUCUGUUAUGCUGUGUCUAGAAAGAAAGUUUAUGUGUCCCGACAUGUGAUUUUUGAUGAAACUGAGUUUCCUUAUCAAUCCUUGUUUCUAAAGUCUCCACCUAUGAAUUCUGCACCAUUACCAUCACUCAUAUCACCCCAUGUUCCAAUCCCUGAUCAUAAUAAUGUUCUUGUUUUACCAACAACCCCGUGUUCAUCCAUACCUGGUCUUUCUCCUGGCUGCACACAUCUACGUUCUGAUACUACCCUAUGUCCUAUGUCACUGCCUAAUGUCCAUCAAUCCUCUGCCGAGCUCAAUGCAAUACCAGUUGCAGUUCCAAGUUCAACCUCAGAGGGCUCAAGUUUUGAUCAAUCCAUUGGUGCAGCACAUACACAAUCCUUGUCCUCCACACUCCCUGUGGUACCUGAAUUCCAAUAUGAAAAUCUACAAGUGGUUUUGUCUAUACCACCCCUCAAUCUUCACCCUAUGCAAACAAGAUCAAAGAGUGGCAUUUCCAAGGCCAUUGCUCUUUUAGCUGCUGUACAUGAACAUGGAGGAGUUGAUUUGAGUCAAGUUGAGCCGGCAACCUAUAAAUCUGCAUUAAAGUCACCAGUGUGGUAUGAGACUAUGCAAGAUGAGAUUUCGGCAUUGCAUAAACAAGGUACAUGGUCUCUGGUACCUUUACCUAAACAUAAGAACUUAGUAGGCUGCAAAUGGGUCUUCAAGAUAAAAAAGAAUGCGGAUGGUUCUAUUGGGAGAUAUAAGGCGAGACUUGUAGCUAAAGGGUUUAAUCAAGAAGAAGAUAUUGACUAUAGAGAGACAUUUAGUCCUGUUGUCAAACCCACAACUGUGAGAUUGGUUCUCGCUUUAUCUGCUCAUUUUGGGUGGUCCCUGCGGCAAUUGGAUGUGAAAAAUGCCUUUCUUCAUGGCAUUUUGCAAGAGGAGGUCUACAUGACUCAACCACCUGGAUUUGGGGAUUCAAAACAUGAAGAUUAUGUCUGCCGGUUACAUAAAUCUUUGUAUGGCUUAAAACAGGCCCCAAGGGCGUGGAAUGAGAGAUUCACUAGCUUUCUACCAUCUUUGGGGUUCACUUCUACAUAUGCCGAUUCCUCUUUAUUUGUCAAAACUGUGGAUACCUCUGUUGUGAUUUUGCUUUUAUAUGUUGAUGAUAUCAUCAUCACAGGAAGUGCAACACAUGCUAUUCAUGCAGUGAUUCAAUCUUUAACUCAGGAAUUUGAUAUCAAAGACUUGGGACCUCUUCACUACUUUCUGGGAAUCCAAAUUGUGCAUAAAGAGGAUGGUUUGUUCUUAUCUCAGGAUAAAUAUGUCACAGAUUUAUUAACAAAAUCUAAAAUGUUGCUAUCCAAACCAUGUGCUACACCAUGUUUGCCCUACAAUCGGCUGCUCAAAGAUGAUGGCAAGCCUUAUAAUAAUCCUACUCUAUACAGAAGCUUGGUUGGUGCUCUCCAGUAUUUGACAUUUACUAGACCUGAUAUCUCUUUUGCAGUCCAUCAUGUUUGUCAGUUUAUGCAGUGUCCAAUGGAGUCGCAUUUUGUGGUUGUUAAGUGGUUGUUAAGCGCAUUCUCAGAUACUUAAGAGCUACACAGGGUUGUGGUAUUCAUUAUAUCAAAGGGUCAUUAGAGAUUACUGCUUAUAGUGAUGCAGACUGGGCUAGGGACCCUAAUGAUAGACGGUCAACUACUGGACUGGUUGUUUUUCUGGGGUCUAAUCCAAUUUCUUGGUCCUCUAAGAAGCAACACACGGUCUCCCGGUCAUCUACUGAAGCCGAGUAUCGUGCUUUAUCUACAACUGCAGCUGAACUUGAUUGGAUUAAACAAUUGCUAGUAUUUCUUCACCUUCCAAUAUCUGUGCAACCUGUUUUGUUCUGUGACAAUUUAUCAGCAAUUGCUCUUACCUGUAAUCCAGUUCAGCAUCAAAGAACUAAGCACAUUGAGAUUGACGUGCACUUUGUUCGAGAAAGGGUUGCUAGACAUGACCUUCAAGUUCAUUUUGUUUCUUCGAAUGAGCAAUUCGCUGACAUCCUUACAAAAGGUCUAUCUGCACCUCUUUUUCAAACCCAUUGUGCCAAUCUCAGGCUCUGUUUUACUGCCCCUGAGCUUGUGGGGGGAUGUUAGAAGUAUUCAGAUCAAAUGGCUACAAAAGAGACAUGUGUCAAGAGAUCAAGAUAAGAGUUAGUUUGUUAAAGAUUGUAGCUUAGAGAGCAAGCUAUGAUUACUGAUAUAUACUGUUAGUUGUAAACUGUUGUAACUAGAAAAACAAUAUUCAAAUAUAGAAAUAUAAUCUUGCUCUCUCUCUCUCUCUAUCUCUCUCUCUAAAUCUUUUCUACUUUCUUCUUCUUCCUCUGCUAUCUUGCUGAUAUUCUUUCCUGCAUAUUACUUAACAAAUACAUGUACUUUGAUAUUCAUGUAUUUUUCCUUUCAUUUUCGUUGGUCUUAUAGCUCGUGUGGUUUCUUUAUCUUUGAAUUUGGUUUUUAUUCAUAACCUUGGCAGAAAGAGGCCCAGAUUCCACAUAGACCGUCCGAUUAAUGUAUUUGUGGAACAGCAAGAUGGGAUAAAGUGAAAAGCAUUCUGGGAAUGAUGCAAUUGUUCAGAAAUGCUUGUUUUCAAUAUUUUUUUUUCAAUUGAGGAUAAGAUAUGUAAAAUUAUAGUUUGUUAAUAUAUAUUUUGAUGGAUGGUUUUGAAUAUUUUUGUAAAUUAUAAUAUUCUAGAUGCUUAUGGUUGUGGGCUGUGUUGAUUUUACAAAAAAAAAAAAAAAAAAAUUGUUUAGACUCAGUUUCAAUUUGUAGGCUAUUUUUAUUUUUUAGUUUUUAUAAUUUAUAUUUUUGUUAGUAUUUUAACUUAGAGGGACGGCACAAUUACUAAAAUUGCUGCUUAUAAAUUGGUAUCCUUAAACCUCAUAGGGCACAAAUAAAUUUUUGUGCACAUUGUCCAUAUUUUUUGUAGUGUGAGUUGGUUCAACUGGAUUAGUUGAUUCUUCUUUUAGGUUAAAUACAAGUGAAAUAUUGGAAGGGAUUCAGUGAUGAACCUCGAUUUCAAAUAAACACUAUGAAUCACUUGAAUUACAAGUUAUUUAUUUUAUGUCUUUCACGAAAAAAGAUAGAAAUUAAUAUAAUGAAAGUAAACGCUUUAUCAACAUAAACACUAAUUGAAUGAACACGUAUGGAAAUUCCUACGCACACAUACUAAUUUUACAUCUAUCAUGUGGACCACGGGAUCUCAAUUUUCUCAAAUUACACUAUACAAAGUUUUAAAAUCGUAUGAAUAUAUGUCUUCAAUUUGUUUUGACUGUAAGAUCCUCGU